AUUGAACGCUGGCGGCAGGCCUAACACAUGCAAGUCGAGCGAGCGGCGGACGGGUGAGUAAUGUAUGGGAAACUGCCUGAUGGAGGGGGAUAACUACUGGAAACGGUGGCUAAUACCGCAUACCAUCGGAUGUACCCAGAUGGGAUUAGCUAGUAGGUGGGGUAACGGCUCACCUAGGCGACGAUCCCUAGCUGGUCUGAGAGGAUGAUCAGCCACACUGGAAAUGAGAAACGGUCCAGACUCCUACGGGAGGCAGCAGUGGGGAAUAUUGCACAAUGGGCGCAAGCCUGAUGCAGCCAUGCCGCGUGUGUGAAGAAGGCCUUAGGGUUGUAAAGCACUUUCAGUGGGGAGGCGUUACCCGCAGAAGAAGCACCGGCUAACUCCGUGCCAGCAGCCGCGGUAAUAC
RNAcentral lists this ribosomal RNA (406 nucleotides) under uncultured bacterium. Its description in RNAcentral is "partial 16S ribosomal RNA". It matches the Rfam family "Bacterial small subunit ribosomal RNA", at positions 30 to 526 of the family's 1533-position model. The record is from RNAcentral.